This 253-nucleotide ribosomal RNA is filed under the name uncultured bacterium. RNAcentral describes it as "partial 16S ribosomal RNA". It matches the Rfam family "Bacterial small subunit ribosomal RNA", at positions 524 to 776 of the family's 1533-position model. The record is from RNAcentral.
UACGGAGGGCGCAAGCGUUGUCCGGAUUCAUUGGGCGUAAAGGGUGCGUAGGCGGCUCGGUAAGUCAGGUGUGAAAUCUCGGGGCUCAACCGCGAAACUGCACUUGAUACUGCGGUGCUAGAGGACUCGAGAGGAGAGUGGAAUUCACGGUGUAGCAGUGAAAUGCGUAGAUAUCGGAAGGAACACCAGUGGCGAAAGCGGCUUACUGGUCCAGCACCGACGUUCAGGCACGAAAGCGUGGGGAGCAAACAGG